RNAcentral lists this ribosomal RNA (440 nucleotides) under uncultured bacterium. RNAcentral's name for it is "partial 16S ribosomal RNA". It matches the Rfam family "Bacterial small subunit ribosomal RNA", at positions 338 to 795 of the family's 1533-position model. The record is from RNAcentral.
CCUACGGGGGGCAGCAGUGGGGAAUAUUGCACAAUGGGGGAAACCCUGAUGCAGCAACGCCGCGUGAGUGAAGAAGUAUUUCGGUAUGUAAAGCUCUAUCAGCAGGGAAGAAAAUGACAGUACCUGACUAAGAAGCCCCGGCUAACUACGUGCCAGCAGCCGCGGUAAUACGUAGGGGGCAAGCGUUAUCCGGAUUUACUGGGUGGAAAGGGAGCGUAGACGGCUGCGCAAGUCAGAAGUGAAAGCCCGGGGCUCAACCGCGGGACUGCUUUUGAAACUGUGUAGCUAGAGUGCAGGAGAGGUAAGUGGAAUGCCUAGUGUAGCGGUGAAAUGCGUAGAUAUUAGGAGGAACACCGGUGGCGAAGGCGGCUUACUGGACUGUAACUGACGUUGAGGCUCGAAAGCGUGGGGAGCAAACAGGAUUAGAUACCCCUGUAGUC